This 747-nucleotide long non-coding RNA is filed under the name Panax ginseng (ginseng). RNAcentral describes it as "long non-coding RNA (PGIN_LNC001505)". Lineage: Eukaryota; Viridiplantae; Streptophyta; Magnoliopsida; Apiales; Araliaceae. The record is from RNAcentral.
CGACAACAGAGUCGUCUCCCACACUGCACUGGGUCUCAGUCGUACGACCUGUACCGGGAGAGACUUGAGGUGAGUUUAAAGCAUGCACCCUCCCGCUUGGAGUUUUGGUGGCACGCCCACCAAAAGAAAGGUGACGGUGGUUAUAUCUCACCUGAGGCAGAACGCAUUGCUGUAAGUUAUUUAAUGCUCUUAUUUAAUAUGUAUUUAAAAUUCGGAUAUUCUUUUAUAUUAUUUCAUUUUAUACUUUGCGUAUCAUCCACUAAUGUGUUUUUUGUCAGCGACGGUUCGAAGAUCUUGCAGUGGCCCGGAGCAGCCAGAGAGGUGACACUCCAGUAGACGAGUCUACGUGUGCAGACGAGGAGAUAGAGGACUGGCUGCAGGCUACAGGGGGACCGAAGAAGGGUAGAGUUGUGGGCAUUCCCCAUGUCCCAGCUUACACCCUAGUCCCUGCUGCGAGAUCUCGACGACGCCCACCCACUGGAGGUAGUGGUGCGAGUGGAUCGGGCGCCGGCCCUUCAUUAUCCGAUGACUUCUUCCGGCGGAUCAUAGAGGGGUGCAUGUCGAGCGGUGUUGUGCAGUCAGGCGCACCAUCACGCGAGCGGAUAUAUCAGCUGGCUCAGGAGGUUGUCCACGGCUCUAUCGAUCCUACAGCUGCCGUUGACGAUCUCAUGGGUGUAGUACGGGAGGAGGCCAUCCGCGUGUGUGCAGUUGUCUUGGCCAACAUCUUCCCACCACAUAUUCGACAGG